RNAcentral lists this ribosomal RNA (770 nucleotides) under Staphylococcus xylosus. Its description in RNAcentral is "bacterial SSU rRNA". It matches the Rfam family "Bacterial small subunit ribosomal RNA", at positions 59 to 812 of the family's 1533-position model. Lineage: Bacteria; Bacillati; Bacillota; Bacilli; Caryophanales; Staphylococcaceae. The record is from RNAcentral.
CAGUCGAGCGAACGGAUAAGGAGCUUGCUCCUUUGAAGUUAGCGGCGGACGGGUGAGUAACACGUGGGUAACCUACCUAUAAGACUGGGAUAACUUCGGGAAACCGGAGCUAAUACCGGAUAACAUUUAGAACCGCAUGGUUCUAAAGUGAAAGAUGGUUUUGCUAUCACUUAUAGAUGGACCCGCGCCGUAUUAGCUAGUUGGUAAGGUAACGGCUUACCAAGGCGACGAUACGUAGCCGACCUGAGAGGGUGAUCGGCCACACUGGAACUGAGACACGGUCCAGACUCCUACGGGAGGCAGCAGUAGGGAAUCUUCCGCAAUGGGCGAAAGCCUGACGGAGCAACGCCGCGUGAGUGAUGAAGGGUUUCGGCUCGUAAAACUCUGUUAUUAGGGAAGAACAAAUGUGUAAGUAACUGUGCACAUCUUGACGGUACCUAAUCAGAAAGCCACGGCUAACUACGUGCCAGCAGCCGCGGUAAUACGUAGGUGGCAAGCGUUAUCCGGAAUUAUUGGGCGUAAAGCGCGCGUAGGCGGUUUCUUAAGUCUGAUGUGAAAGCCCACGGCUCAACCGUGGAGGGUCAUUGGAAACUGGGAAACUUGAGUGCAGAAGAGGAAAGUGGAAUUCCAUGUGUAGCGGUGAAAUGCGCAGAGAUAUGGAGGAACACCAGUGGCGAAAGCGACUUUCUGGUCUGUAACUGACGCUGAUGUGCGAAAGCGUGGGGAUCAAACAGGAUUAGAUACCCUGGUAGUCCACGCCGUAACGAUGA